GGCGGAAGGGCGAGUAAUGUAUGGAUAACGUACCCCAGGCACCGGGAUAGCAGCGGGAAACUGUUGGUAAUACCGGAUGAUGUUCCAAACCCCUUGGGGCUUGGAAUCAAAGGAUGGCCUCUACUUGUAAGCUAUCGGCGUGGGAGCGGUCCAUAUCCUAUCAGCUAGUUGGCGGGGUAACGCCCCACCAAGGCAACGACGGGUAGCGGGACUGAGAGGUUGACCCGCCGCAUUGGGACUGAGACACUGCCCAGACUCCUACGGGAGGCUGCAGUAACGAAUAUUGGACAAUGAGCGAAAGCUUGAUCCAGCGACGCCGCGUGCAGGAAGAAGUCCUUCGGGAUGUAAACUGCUGUCAGGGACCACCAAGCAAGGAAGGUUAAUACCCUUCUGCGUUGAGGACUCCCAGAGGAAGCCACGGCUAACUUCGUGCCAGCAACCGCGGUAAUACGAAGGUGGCGAGCGUUGUUCGGAAUCACUGGGCUUAAAGCGUGUGUAGGCGGACUGUCAAGCGUUUUGUGAAAGCCCUCGGCUUAACCGGGGAAUUGCUUGACGAACUGAUAGUCUUGAGGCAGGUAGGGGCAACUGGAACUCUUGGUGGAGCGGUGGAAUGCGUAGAUAUCAAGAGGAACGCCAGAGGCGAAGGCGAGUUGCUGGGCCUGUCCUGACGCUGAGACACGAAAGCCAGGGGAGCGAACGGGAUUAGAUACCCCGGUAGUCCUGGCCCUAAACGAUGUCCACUAGAUCGGAGGCACUCUGACGUGUUUCUGGUCGAAAUGAACGUAAUGGCCGCUGGGAGUACGUCGCAAGGCUAACUCAAAGGAUGACGGGGGUCACCACGUGGAGCAGUGCUUAUUCGAUGCACGCGAAGACUUAUCUAGGCUUGACAUAUACGAUGCUACUGGGAAACCAGUCGCUGCCUUCGGGGUGAAACGUAUACAGGUGCUGAUGCUGUCGUCAGCUCGUGUCGUGAGAUGUUGGUUAAGUCCCGUAACGAGCGAACCCUGUCGUUAGUUGCCAGCGCGUAAUGGCGGGGCUCUAACGAGACUGCCGGUGUUAAACCGGAGGAAGGUGGGGAUGACGUCAAGUCCUCAUGGCCUUUAUGCCUAGGGCUGCAGACGUGCUACAAUGGCCGGUACAAAACGAAGCGAGACCGCGAGGUGGAGCAAAUCGUAAAAAACCGGCCCCAGUUCGGAUUGGAGUCUGCAACUCGACUCCAUGAAGUUGGAAUCGCUAGUAAUCGCGUAUCAGCGUGACGCGGUGAAUGUGUUCCUGAGCCUUGUACCCACCGCCCGUCAAGUCAUGGAAGCCGGGAGCACC
This 1320-nucleotide ribosomal RNA is filed under the name uncultured organism. RNAcentral describes it as "bacterial SSU rRNA". It matches the Rfam family "Bacterial small subunit ribosomal RNA", at positions 97 to 1421 of the family's 1533-position model. The record is from RNAcentral.